AUGAACGCUAGCGGCAGGCCUAAUACAUGCAAGACGAACGGUAAUUCAAAUAGCAAUAUUUGGACAAGAGUGUCGUAAGGGUGCGUAACACGUAUGCAAUCUGCCCUCAACAGGGGAAUAGCUCGGGGAAACUCGAAUUAACACCCCAUAAAAAGACGAUGUGGCAUCAUAUUGUUUUUAAAUCUACGGAGGUUGAGGAUGAGCAUGCGCAUGAUUAGCUAGUUGGCGGGGUAAAGGCCCACCAAGGCGAUGAUCAUUAGGGGAACUGAGAGGUUGAUCCCCCACACUGGCACUGAGAUACGGGCCAGACUCCUACGGGAGGCAGCAGUAGGGAAUAUUGGACAAUGGGUGGAAGCCUGAUCCAGCCAUGCCGCGUGCAGGAAGAAGGCCUUCUGGGUUGUAAACUGCUUUUGCCAGGGGAUAAAAUAGCUAUGCGUAGCGAAUUGAAGGUACCUGGUGAAUAAGCCACGGCUAACUACGU
RNAcentral lists this ribosomal RNA (481 nucleotides) under uncultured bacterium. RNAcentral's name for it is "bacterial SSU rRNA". It matches the Rfam family "Bacterial small subunit ribosomal RNA", at positions 29 to 506 of the family's 1533-position model. The record is from RNAcentral.